This is a long non-coding RNA of Felis catus (domestic cat), 683 nucleotides long. RefSeq lists it as uncharacterized. The record is from RefSeq and is a predicted model, not a curated record. Lineage: Eukaryota; Metazoa; Chordata; Mammalia; Carnivora; Felidae. The transcript has 4 exons.
GGCGGGGCCGCCGCUCAGGUGUGGGGCGGGGCUGGGGGCUCCCCCGCCAGUGGGGUGUCCCUGCGAUCUCGCCGCGGAUCACCCACGUCAGUCCUCCUCCGUCGCCGGGGAUUCACAAGCCUUCACCCCUUCGGGCCGCAUCCUCGGGAGUGUUGAGACCCCAACACGCCACAUCCUCCCCUGCUUAGAUCACAACGUUUCCAAGCGCCUGGUUGAGAUCUCCCACUCCCACACGCCCCCUCAGCCCCACCCCAGGACGCUCUUCACGUCCACCUUCAGAGCCACCUCCUCCAGGAAGUCUCCCUGCCAGCCUCCCCAUUUCCCAUUUCUGCGCGUCGGAGGACAGCCCGGGAAACUGAAGUGCAGAGAAAGGCCUGGAUUCGGGCCGCCUGUUUCUGGUGCCUCGCUUCCAAGACCGGGCGAGUCGGCCUCUGGGUGACAACGGAUCAGCCUGCGUCCACUGCGCGUCCUCAGGCUCAGUUUUACUCGUCCCUAGAAUGAGGCUCAGGACCUAGAGUCCGACCUGGGCCCUUUCCAGCAGCCACCGUGUGACUUCCAGACUGAAGAGUGGGCUCCAGGACUGGGGCUGUGAUUGAAGAUCGGGCAGACAGAGCAAGGGACCCAGAGAGAGACAGAGCAUGAACGGGGGAGGGGCAGAGAGAGAGGGAGACACAGAAUCGGAA